This 769-nucleotide long non-coding RNA is filed under the name Lathyrus oleraceus (garden pea). RNAcentral's name for it is "Pisum sativum (pea) long non-coding RNA (PSAT_LNC013378)". Lineage: Eukaryota; Viridiplantae; Streptophyta; Magnoliopsida; Fabales; Fabaceae. The record is from RNAcentral.
UGCAACAAACAGAAAACAAGAACACUCAAUCAAUGAAAACAGAACCCUCUCUAACUCGCGCUCUCCCAUGAAUCUCUCAACUCCAAACUUUUCUCACAAUAACAAAGACAGGAGAUGUGAACAAGUUUCAAGAUGAAAAUAAAAUAGAAGAAGCAAGAAGAAGAUCGAAGGAGGAAAAAAAGGGGAUUCGUCACCUGAGCAGCCACUGUGUCGAAGCUUCAUCUGGUAGGUUGUUCUUAACCUUUUGUUUCUUUCAUCCGCGUGAAAGAAGGAGUUUUUAGAGAAUCAAAUCCAUGCGAUCCGAUUUAGAAAAGUUGAAAGGGGAACGAUGAUUCCGAUUAUGGUAUUCGGAGUGGGUUGCUUGUUAUUCUUUGUUUGAUUUUCUUUGAGAAAUUUUGCGCGAAGCUAGAGGAAAUUGAUGUCGCGUUCACGGAGGUUAUACACCGUUUUUGUUCCUCGUGUUUCAUCAUUGUGCCAUGAAUGCUCUGUUCACACGCGUGCAUUUUGAAUGAGCGUGUUUCUAGAAAUCCUGGCAAUGAGUUCUUGUGAUGAAGCCAGGUUUGGGUUAAGAGAAUUGGGCCUCCAAGUAAGCAUUUGCUUCCCACCACACUCCAAUCUUUUUUUCACACCCCCAGGCCCAUUAACCCUUGAUUUUGGUCCUUAAUCCCAAUUAAUCCAUGUUUAAUCAUGGAUUUUAUUUAAUUUUUGUUAAUUAAUCUUGCCACUGAUUUCUUGCUAGGGUAUAAUUAGGAUCAAUUCGUAGUUUUAG